RNAcentral lists this ribosomal RNA (641 nucleotides) under uncultured bacterium. Its description in RNAcentral is "bacterial SSU rRNA". It matches the Rfam family "Bacterial small subunit ribosomal RNA", at positions 119 to 776 of the family's 1533-position model. The record is from RNAcentral.
GAGGAACCUGCCUCAAAGAGGGGGACAACAGUUGGAAACGACUGCUAAUACCGCAUAAGCCCACGACCCGGCAUCGGGUAGAGGGAAAAGGAGCAAUCCGCUUUGAGAUGGCCUCGCGUCCGAUUAGCUAGUUGGUGAGGUAAUGGCCCACCAAGGCGACGAUCGGUAGCCGGACUGAGAGGUUGAACGGCCACAUUGGGACUGAGACACGGCCCAGACUCCUACGGGAGGCAGCAGUGGGGAAUAUUGCACAAUGGGGGAAACCCUGAUGCAGCGACGCCGCGUGGAGGAAGAAGGUCUUCGGAUUGUAAACUCCUGUUGUUGAGGAAGAUAAUGACGGUACUCAACAAGGAAGUGACGGCUAACUACGUGCCAGCAGCCGCGGUAAAACGUAGGUCACAAGCGUUGUCCGGAAUUACUGGGUGUAAAGGGAGCGCAGGCGGGAAGACAAGUUGGAAGUGAAAUCCAUGGGCUCAACCCAUGAACUGCUUUCAAAACUGUUUUUCUUGAGUAGUGCAGAGGUAGGCGGAAUUCCCGGUGUAGCGGUGGAAUGCGUAGAUAUCGGGAGGAACACCAGUGGCGAAGGCGGCCUACUGGGCACCAACUGACGCUGAGGCUCGAAAGUGUGGGUAGCAAACAGG